CGAGUGUUUAGAGAUCCUAUGACCUCAACCUCCGAGACAAUCACCAUGUUUGCUGUGAAAGCAGUUUGCCUACUCGUCACCGUCGCUCUGCUUGUUGCAAUGGUGGCUGCGGACCCUCAGAGAGAGAACCGUUGUGACAAAAGACAUUUUUCAGGCCCCAUGUGUCACCCUUAGAAAAGGCGAAGAGAUGUCAAGCAUCCACUGAAGACUCUAAUCACUAAAACCCUAUGUAGUCAAAUUAAAUAAAGUAGUCAUGCAUACCUA
This is a long non-coding RNA of Polypterus senegalus (gray bichir), 264 nucleotides long. RefSeq lists it as uncharacterized. The record is from RefSeq and is a predicted model, not a curated record. The transcript has 4 exons. NCBI's taxonomy places the organism in Eukaryota, Metazoa, Chordata, Cladistia, Polypteriformes, Polypteridae.